GAUGAACGCUGGCGGCGUGCCUAAUACAUGCAAGUCGAGCGAACGGACGAGAAGCUUGCUUCUCUGAUGUUAGCGGCGGACGGGUGAGUAACACGUGGAUAACCUACCUAUAAGACUGGGAUAACUUCGGGAAACCGGAGCUAAUACCGGAUAAUAUUUUGAACCGCAUGGUUCAAAAGUGAAAGACGGUCUUGCUGUCACUUAUAGAUGGAUCCGCGCUGCAUUAGCUAGUUGGUAAGGUAACGGCUUACCAAGGCAACGAUGCAUAGCCGACCUGAGAGGGUGAUCGGCCACACUGGAACUGGGACACGGUCCAGACUCCUACGGGAGGCAGCAUUAGGGAAUCUUCCGCAAUGGGCGAAAGCCUGACGGAGCAACGCCGCGUGAGUGAUGAAGUUCUUCGGAUCGUAAAACUCUGUUAUUAGGGAAGAACAUAUGUGUAAGUAACUGUGCACAUCUUGACGGUACCUAAUCAGAAAGCCACGGCUAACUACGUG
This 497-nucleotide ribosomal RNA is filed under the name uncultured bacterium. RNAcentral's name for it is "partial 16S ribosomal RNA". It matches the Rfam family "Bacterial small subunit ribosomal RNA", at positions 28 to 507 of the family's 1533-position model. The record is from RNAcentral.